AUGAAAUGGCUGGACUGACAGCACCCCAAUGCAGUAGUUUGUGGC
This 45-nucleotide non-coding RNA is filed under the name Eutreptiella gymnastica. The record is from RNAcentral. Lineage: Eukaryota; Euglenozoa; Euglenophyceae; Eutreptiales; Eutreptiaceae.